Molecule: ribosomal RNA, 489 nt
Filed under: uncultured bacterium
Lineage: Bacteria
Description: bacterial SSU rRNA
Rfam family: Bacterial small subunit ribosomal RNA
Source: RNAcentral
UUCUGGCUCAGGAUGAACGCUGGCGGCGUGCUUAACACAUGCAAGUCGAACGAAGCUAAGGGAGCUUGCUCCCAAAGCUUAGUGGCGGACGGGUGAGUAACGCGUGGGUAACCUGCCCUAUAGAGGGGGAUAACGUUCGGAAACGAACGCUAAUACCGCAUAAACCAUAAGGAGCUGCAUGGCUCUGAUGGCAAAGAUUUAUCGCUAUAGGAUGGACCUGCGUUGGAUUAGCUAGUUGGUGAGAUAACAGCUCACCAAGGCGACGAUCCAUAGCCGGCCUGAGAGGGUGAACGGCCACAUUGGGACUGAGACACGGCCCAAACUCCUACGGGAGGCAGCAGUGGGGAAUAUUGCACAAUGGGCGCAAGCCUGAUGCAGCGACGCCGCGUGAAGGAAGAAGGUCUUCGGAUUGUAAACUUCUAUCAGCAGGGAAGAAUAAAUGACGGUACCUGACUAAGAAGCCCCGGCUAACUACGUGCCAGCCGCGGC